GAUGAACGCUGGCGGCGUGCCUAAUACAUGCAAGUCGAGCGAACAGAUGAGAAGCUUGCUUCUCUGAUGUUAGCGGCGGACGGGUGAGUAACACGUGGGUAACCUACCUAUAAGACUGGGAUAACUCCGGGAAACCGGGGCUAAUACCGGAUAAUAUUUUGAACCGCAUGGCUCAAUAGUGAAAGACGGUUUCGGCUGUCACUUAUAGAUGGACCCGCGCCGUAUUAGCUAGUUGGUGGGGUAAAGGCCUACCAAGGCAAGGUUGGUUAGCCGGCCUGAGAGGGUGAACGGCCACAUUGGAACUUAGAUACGGUCCAGACUCCUACGGGAGGCAGCAGUGAGGAAUAUUGCGCAAUGGGCGAAAGCCUGACGCAGCGACGCCGCGUGGAGGAUGAAGGUCUUUGGAUUGUAAACUUCUGUUAAGUGGGAAAAAAUUUUCUAGAAUAAUAUUCUAGGGAGCUGAUUGUACCACUAGAGAAAGCACCGGCUAACUCCGUGCCAGCAGCCGCCGUAA
Molecule: ribosomal RNA, 514 nt
Filed under: uncultured bacterium
Lineage: Bacteria
Description: partial 16S ribosomal RNA
Rfam family: Bacterial small subunit ribosomal RNA
Source: RNAcentral